AACUUUCAACAACGGAUCUCUUGGUUCGGCAUCGAUGAAGAAC
This 43-nucleotide ribosomal RNA is filed under the name uncultured fungus. Its description in RNAcentral is "partial 5.8S ribosomal RNA". The record is from RNAcentral. Lineage: Eukaryota; Fungi.